ACCCGUUGAUCCUGCGGGAGGUUGCUGCUAUUUGGGUGCCACUUAGCCAUGCAAGUCAAGGGGGCGCAAGCCACCGGCGAAAUGCUCAGUAACACGUUGAUAAUCUACCCUUAGGUCUUGGAUACCCUCGGGAAACUGGGGUUAAACCAGGAUAGAUGAUCGGUACUGGAAUGUCCUUUCAUUUAAAUCUCCGGAGCCUAAGGAUGAGUCAGCGGCUGAUUAGGCUGUUGGUGAGGUAAUGGCUCACCAAACCAAUGAUCAGUAUGGGUCUUGAGAGAGAUGGCCCAGAGAAGGGCACUGAGAAAGGGGCCCUAGCCCUACGGGGUGCAGCAGGCGGGAAACCUUUACAAUGCACGAAAGUGCGAUAAGGGUACCCUAAGUGCUUACACUUUGUGUAAGCUUUUGUUAAGAGUAAAAAUCUUAACGAAUAAGUGAUGGGAAAGACUGGUGCCAGCCGCCGCGGUAACACCAGCGUCACGAGUGGCAACCGCAUUUAUUGGGUCUAAAGCGUCCGUAGCUUGUUUAGCUAGUUCUUUGUGAAAUCAUUAGAGUCAACUUAAUGGCGUGCAAAGAAUACUAGUUAGACUAGGGACUGGGAGAAGUCAGGGGUAUUCCGGGGGAAGCGGUAAAAUGUUAUAAUCCCUGGAGGACCACCAAUGGCGAAGGCAUCUGACUAGAACAGGUCCGACAGUGAGGGACGAAAGCUAGGGGAUCAAACCGGAUUAGAUACCCGAGUAGUCCUAGCUGUAAACGCUGCAGGUUAGGCGUUGCAUAAUCUACAUGAUUAUGCAGUGUCGUAGCGAAGGCGUUAAACCUGCCACCUGGGAAGUACGGCCGCAAGACUGAAACUUAAAGGAAUUGGCGGGGGAGCACCACAAGGGGUGCUACGUGCGGUUCAAUUUGAUUCCACACGGGAAAUCUCACUAGAAGCGACGGCAAGAUGAAAGUCAGGCUGAAGACCUUACUUGAUGAGCCGAGAGGAAUUGCAUGGCCGUCACCAGCUCGUGCCGUAAGGUGUCCUGUUAAGUCAGGCAACGAGCGAGACCUGCAUCUACAAUUGCUAACGAUUCCUCCGGGAAGAUCGAGCACAUUGUAGGGACUGCCCUGGAAACAGGGAGGAAGGCGCAGGCUAUGAUAGGUCAGUAUGGUCCUAAUCUUCUAGGCUACACGCGCGUUGCAAUGAUAGAGACAACGGGAUACAACUCCGAAAGGAGAAGUUAAGCCUCCAAACUCUAUCUUAGUUUAGAUCGAGCCUUGUAACUCAGGCUCGUGACACCGGAAUCCCUAGUAAUCGGGCGUCAACAACGUCCGGUGAAUAUGUCCCUGCUCCUUGCACACACCGCCCGUCAAGCCACUCGAGCAUGGUUUAAAUGAGGAUUAACUUAUUGGUUAGUUCGAAUUUGGGCCAAGUGAGAUGGGCUAAGUCGUCACAAGGUA
Molecule: ribosomal RNA, 1437 nt
Filed under: metagenome
Description: bacterial SSU rRNA
Rfam family: Archaeal small subunit ribosomal RNA
Source: RNAcentral